CCAAUAGCGUAUAUUAAAGUUGCUGCAGUUAAAAAGCUCGUAGUUGAAUUUCGGGGUCAAUAUGUUGGUCGUGCCUUGGUACGUACUAGCUUAUUGAUUUCUCCUUUCUGACGAACCAUGAUGUCAUUAAUUUGGUGUCAUGGGGAAUCAGGACUGUUACUUUGAAAAAAUUAGAGUGUUUAAAGCAGGCUCGCGCUUGAAUACAUUAGCAUGGAAUAAUGAAAUAGAACAUUUGAUUCUAUUUUGUUGGUUUCUAGGAUCGAUGUAAUGAUUAAUAGGGAUAGUUGGGGGCAUUAGUAUUCAAUUGUCAGUGGUGAAAUUCUUGGAUUUAUUGAAGACUAACUACUGCGAAAGCAUUUGCCAAGGAUGUUUUCAUUAAUCAAGAACGAAAGUUAGGGGAUCGAAGACGAUCAGAUACCGUCGUAGUCUUAACCAUAAACUAUGCCGACUAGGGAUCGGAUGAUGUUAAUUUUUUAAUGACUCAUUCGGCGCCUUACG
This 498-nucleotide ribosomal RNA is filed under the name uncultured Glomeromycotina. RNAcentral's name for it is "partial small subunit ribosomal RNA". It matches the Rfam family "Eukaryotic small subunit ribosomal RNA", at positions 591 to 1092 of the family's 1831-position model. The record is from RNAcentral. Lineage: Eukaryota; Fungi; Glomeromycota.